AUAUAUAUAUCUUCUAGAAAUGCUAGCCCACCCUUCCCCCUAUUUGAGUCUCUUCUAUCCUUUUCUGCCUUCCUUCCAGGGCUGUUUCUGACUAAGGUGCAUUGUAAGGAUGCCAGCUGUUUCUGGGGAAAACAGCAAACCAACCAACCCUUACUAUUUCUCAACAAGCAGUACUAAAAAUACCAGGAUAUACUGCUACACUUUUUAGUAAAUAGAUUAUUUCAACCAGCCCAUUUAUAAGCAUUUAAACUUGUUACCGCCAAAUUUGUUGGGCAAGAUAGUAUGGUGAGAAAAUCAGUUCUUUUGAACAAACUCGAUCAUUGUCAUUGUAGAGAAGGAUAACUACUUAUUUUUCUAUGGAAUGUUGUCAUAGGUUUAAAAAAAAGGUACCAGUACCUCUCUCAACUCUCAUUUAGUCUGACCUUCAAGGUCACGAGACGAGUCACGUAGGUAGGUCUUUGCGGCUGCAGUCACAUCCCGGCUGCCCCUCAGCUCGGUCCGCUUUGCCCAAGGGAGGAAGACCAUUCCUGCCGGGAUCCACAAGACCUACAGCAUAGCGGACACAUUUGGAACAUCUUGGUGGCUCACAAAGAACCUUCAUCUGGUCCCUCACCUCCGGCAGCGCUGUGUACGUUACCCAGGCCCCGGCCGCGGAGGCUGGACGGAGGACAGGCUGCGCGCUCGAGCCGAGCAGCGUUCUUGCCAGGGAGUGUGGAGGUGCGGAUGGGAGGAGGGAGAGGAUGAGUCUCCACGUGGCUGGAACUGUGCACGGGAAUCUGGGAGCUGCGACUGCCGUCUGCCAGCUGCCCUACGGCUCGAGUGACUGAGGAAGCCAGGCGCUGGGGGAAGCCACGAAGUGGGAAACCGUGGGUCUCGGAGUCCUGCUGGCCUUCCUGUUCCAGUUUCAGCCCUUCCCAUGCGUACGUUCCUGCCCUUGGCUCGGUGAGACAGCCCUACUUUCUGAUAGCUUCCCCUUUUGUACGUAAAAUAGUUCAAGCUGUUUUCUACCCUUUGUAAGCAUGAACAUCCCGACGAAUCCUGAGGGCUGGGGUUCUGCCCCCUCAGUCGCUCUGGAGAGACGGCUCCCGCCAGCCUGCCGUGGCGCGUGGCGCGUGGCGCGUGGCGCGUGGCGCGCACGCUGCUGCCUCCUCGUCAGUCCUGCGGGGCCGGUCGAACGGGAGCACGUGCCCGAAACAGAGAGGCAAGCACUAGACGGCGCUGAUGUCAAAUCCAGCCACAUCAUUUACCUGCUGGUUGAUCUUAAACAAGCACCGUAAGCGCUCCGAACCUCCCUUUGUUUGUAUAUUAACACCUGCCUUGCAGAGUUGAUUAAGUAAAAUGAUGCAAAAUUCUAGCACAGGGAGGGGCACGCAGUCGGCACUCGACGCCUGACGGCCACAGAUGCAGCCGGAAUGGUGACCUAGAAACAUCGCAGCUCUCGGCCAGGAUAAGUUCUUCUUAAGCUAAAGAGCAGGUGUGUGUUCUGGCUCUUGACGCAUACUGCCAAAAUUCCGUCCAGAAACUGAACCUGGUUACACCUCCACCAGCAGUGUGUGCCUGCGUGUCGGAGGAGCCGACAGCUCGUUGUCCCCCAGACCCGUUCUCCCGGUCUUCCACGACAGCUGAGUUUUACCUGAGCAGACGGUCGGACGCCCGGCUGACUACACUGUCCUGCUUCUCUUGCCACUGAGUGUGGCCAUGAAACCAAGUUCUUACCGUUAGAUCAUGAGACCCACAACUUACAUGUCAUUUACUUACAAGGAAACUGCUUACCUCCUAGUGCCUCUCCUCCUCCCUCCCCCUGGGCUGGAGCUCAAACUCAGCUGGGGCACGUAAAUAGGGACAACACCCUAGGGGCCAGCAGAGCAAAAAGACAGGGACCUCCAGACCCUGAAGGCUUCAUGGAGCAGAAACCCACCCCUUCACUCGCCUGGAGCACUCACCUGCAGCCUGCUACAAUCGUCUCUUGGCUACAGAAUCCAAGCCUGUACCUCAAUAGCACAGUGGAGUUGAUGCCUUUUUAUUAGUAACAGUAAGACACUUUGAAGUACCAAUUAGGUUUAUACAAUCAGCAGAUUAUGUAUGACGAUUUGUAUCAUCCAUGACCACCAAAAUGGUGUAUCACGCACUCACAUGUUCCAGUAUUUUAUUUUUCAGUAAGCAUGGUUUAACCUGCAUUAAGAACAAAUUCCUUUAUUAUACAGGUUUUAGUGUCAGUUACUCUACCCUUUCUCUUCACAAUGGCUCCUUCAUUGUUAAUGCAUAGCGUGUCUCUCCUUACAGCAAGCUACUGAAUUUCGGGUGUAUAAUUGACCUACACAGAUUUAAGCAUUUACUGUGGAGUUCUUUAUAUCCAAGUAUAAGCUUGCAGUUGAUCGUUUGUAAAUAUUUUGCAGGAUUAUAGGUCAGAUUUCUAAAAACUUAAAUUAGUUGUACAAUCCAUUAUGGAGACCAUAGUCCAAUUUUUAUAAAAGUAAUUCCCUUAUAUUGCAGUAGGUCUGAUGUUAACUACUCCUCUUCUUUGGUAGCUUGUGGAAGCUUGAGAUAUAUUUCACUGAUGCUCUGUCAUCAUAUGUUGGACUACAUAUGAGAACCAGGUUAUGUAUGGAUGAGUCUAGAAAUAAAAUAAAUGCCAAACUGCUCUGUGAUGAACACCUUCUUUGUUCCUCUUCUCUCAAGGAUCACGGCUCUGUGCUGUGUACUGACUAAUGUCUAAAAACAGAUGCUUUGUUUAUUUUAUCCAGUUUCAUGGUUAUUUAUUGUGGAAAGGUAAACUCAUUACAGUUGAUUCUUGAGCAACAAAGUUUUGAACUGUGCGGGUCCUCUUGUAUGCAGAAUUUUUUCAAUAAAUAUAUUGGAAAAAG
Molecule: non-coding RNA, 2864 nt
Organism: Vicugna pacos (alpaca)
Lineage: Eukaryota; Metazoa; Chordata; Mammalia; Artiodactyla; Camelidae
Source: RefSeq, a predicted model, not a curated record